Myotis lucifugus (little brown bat) is the source of this 452-nucleotide long non-coding RNA. RefSeq lists it as uncharacterized. The record is from RefSeq and is a predicted model, not a curated record. The transcript has 2 exons. NCBI's taxonomy places the organism in Eukaryota, Metazoa, Chordata, Mammalia, Chiroptera, Vespertilionidae.
GGCAUUUACAUAUAUAGAUGAUAUUUUACCUGCUUACUGUUUCUCUCCCAGCUAUGCCUUCCAUGAAGGAAACAGAGACCAGGUUGAUUUGACCUACCACUGAAUCCCUUGUGCUGAGAACUGCACUGGGCACAGAGUACAAGUUUCAUUUCUCAGGCCAGUGCACCUGCAUACUCCCUUUGAUCCUGAACAAAGUGAUGGAGGAGGUGAUUCAGCUGUGGACAAUGUAUACUGUACCCAGCAAGCAAGUAGAACUGUUAAGCAUGACCAGGCCGACCCCACCAGGAGCCAAGCCGUCAUCUCGUUGCCUGACAACCAAGAGCAAUGGCUGACGUCUGCUGACGUCUAGGACUGCAUGCAAUUGCAUUCUGUUCCCAACCUCACCCCAGCCCAUUUGCCUAUAUAAUCCUGUCCCCUGCACCUUACUGUAAGACAGCUUUUGGAUGCUCUAA